AACGUUGCCCUUGUUCCGUACACA
This 24-nucleotide non-coding RNA is filed under the name Arabidopsis thaliana (thale cress). The record is from RNAcentral. Lineage: Eukaryota; Viridiplantae; Streptophyta; Magnoliopsida; Brassicales; Brassicaceae.